GAGAUGGCGCUAUGUUUUUAAUAAAUAACUUGUUUUCUAUUAUUUUCUGCACGUGGAUUUACAUAUUGUAAUUUAUUUUAUACUUUAUUGUAAUUACUUUAUAUUUUAUUGUAAAAACGUGAUGUAAAAUGGUUGUAAUAGGAAAGAAAAAGUAUCAGUCUGGGGAAGGAGCACAGUUUAUGACAAGAAAAGCUGCUCUAAAAAAAUUGCAGCUCACUUUAACUGAUUUUCGUAAAUUAUGUAUAUUGAAAGGAAUAUAUCCAAGAGAACCACGUAAUCGUAAACGGGCGCAAAAAGGAGAUCCUAGUAUCAAAAUAUUAUAUCAUAAAAAAGAUAUUCAAUUUUUGAUGCAUGAACCAAUAAUAUGGAAACUAAGAGAAUUUAAGAUAUUUAAUAAAAAAGUUGGAAGAGCAAGAGCUUUGAAAGAAUUUUCAGAUAUGAAAAGAUAUUUAGAUAAUCAUCCUACUUUAAAACUAGAUCACAUUGUUAAAGAACGUUAUCCAACAUUCAUUGAUGCACUUAGGGAUCUAGAUGAUUGUUUGACUUUAUGUUUCUUAUUUAGUACAUUUCCAUCCCUUAAUCAUAUACCAAGAGAUCAGUCGUUGUUAUGUAGAAGAUUGACAGUUGAAUUCUUACAUGCUAUAAUUGCUGCUAAAGCUUUACGUAAAGUAUUUGUAUCUAUUAAAGGAUAUUAUUAUCAAGCAGAAAUUAAAGGACAAAUAAUAACUUGGAUUGUACCUCAUCACUUCAGUUUUGAGCCUCAAGCAAAAAAUGAUGUAGACUUUAAAAUUAUGUCUAUAUUUGUAGAAUUCUAUAUAGUGAUGUUAGGUUUUGUUAAUUAUAGGCUUUAUCACAGUCUUAAUUUAUAUUAUCCUCCAAAACUUACUACUAAUGAUAAUAGUGAAAAAAUACUUGUUGAUGAAGAGGUAUAUGUAUCAGAAAGAAUAGCAGCAUUAAAUGUACCUUUAGUAAAUCUGGAUCCUACAUUACAAAAUAUAGAAGAUGAAGAAUUGGAGAUAGAUAAAUUUGCAAAUGAAGGUGAUGCUACAAAUAUGGAAGAGAUUAGAAUAGAAGCAGAAAAAGUUAAAAAAUUAAAAACACUUUUUAAAGGUUUAAAAUUUUUCUUGAAUAGAGAAGUACCAAGAGAACCUUUAGUUUUUAUUUUACGUUGUUUUGGAGCUGAAGUAUCUUGGGAUAAAUUACUCUUUGUUGGUGCAACAUUUGAUGAAAAUGAUGAAACAAUAACACAUCAUAUAGUGGACAGACCUAAUAUGACUAAACAAUAUAUUUCUAGAUAUUAUGUACAGCCACAGUGGAUUUUUGAUUCGGUAAAUGCUAAAGAAUUGUUACCUGUAGAAAAAUAUUUAAUAGGUUGUAUACUUCCACCACAUCUUUCACCAUUUUCAAAUAGUCAGCAUGAUCAGACGUAUAUUCCACCAGAGGAGCGUGCUCUUAUGGAUCCUGAAUUUAAACUUAAUAAUGAAGAAGAUGAAUCUGAAGAAGAAGUAGAAGAAAAUAAAAAAGAAAAUAAUGAAAAUGAAGUGCAGAAAAAAAAUUUAACAAAAAAUUCAGAGGAGAAACUUGAAGCGAAAGAAUCUUCGGAUGAUUUGGAAACGACAAUCGAUGAGAAAGAACAGCAACGAAAUCGAUUAAAAAAUAAAAUGAAAGUUAAAACUGGAGAAGUAAUAAAGGAAGAUCCAUGGGAGAAGAAACGACAGGAAAGACAAGAGUAUCGAUUAAGAGAACGUAUGAUUAAAAAGAAACAUCGAAAUUUGUACAGGAGUAUGAUGGAAGGUCGUAAGGAAAGAGCCAAAGAAAUAUGGCUUCUUCGUAAGAAGAGGCGGCUACAUGAUACCGCUGAGAAGCAAAAACGCAAAGAAGAACGCAAACAGAAAAAAGUUAAAGUUACUGAAUAAGAAUAAAUAAAAAAAAAAGCAACUAAUACAAAUUUAAUAUUAAUUACUUUUAUUCCACAUACAUCAUUUUUGUAAAUGAAUUAUAUUAAGAAUUAUAUCCAAUCUCACUUUUCACAUUAAUCUUCUUAUCUUUUAUAUAUUAGUAUCGAAUAUAAAGUCAUGAAGAUUUGACAGCAGAAUAUAAUAACUUUCUCAAUAAUCAUAAGUACAGUUACGCGAAUAGAGAGAUGCCUUUUUAUCCAGUCCUCCCACUUACCGGAAGCCCACGCAUGCGAUGAUUCUGGUUUCUACUUUUCCCCCGAAGGACUUUGAAGGCCAGACUACCUACAUAUAUUAACCUACGCAAUCACGAAUUAUCAUUGAAGGACAAAUUCAUUUAGUGAUGGAUAAAUUACCGUCGAUACAUCCGGUACUUGCGUAUAUUAUGUUAGCAAGUUACCUUGAAUCGAUCAUUGAAAUCGGAUUCGAAAAUAAAAUAUCCAUGGUCAAGCUA
This 2409-nucleotide unclassified non-coding RNA is filed under the name Apis florea (little honeybee). Its description in RNAcentral is "pescadillo homolog, transcript variant X3". Lineage: Eukaryota; Metazoa; Arthropoda; Insecta; Hymenoptera; Apidae. The record is from RNAcentral.